AGAGUUUGAUCCUGGCUCAGGAUGAACGCUGGCGGCGUGCCUAACACAUGCAAGUCGAGCGAAGCGGUUUUAAGGAAGUUUUCGGAUGGAAUUAAAACUGACUGAGCGGCGGACGGGUGAGUAACGCGUGGGUAACCUGCCUCAUACAGGGGGAUAACAGUUAGAAAUGGCUGCUAAUACCGCAUAAGCACACAGCUUCGCAUGGAGCAGUGUGAAAAACUCCGGUGGUAUGAGAUGGACCCGCGUCUGAUUAGCUAGUUGGUAAGGUAACGGCUUACCAAGGCGACGAUGAGUAGCCGACCUGAGAGGGUGACCGGCCACAUUGGGACUGAGACACGGCCCAAACUCCUACGGGAGGCAGCAGUGGGGAAUAUUGCACAAUGGGGGAAACCCUGAUGCAGCGACGCCGCGUGAAGGAAGAAGUAUCUCGGUAUGUAAACUUCUAUCAGCAGGGAAGAUAGUGACGGUACCUGACUAAGAAGCCCCGGCUAACUACGUGCCAGCAGCCGCGGUAAUACGUAGGGGGCAAGCGUUAUCCGGAUUUACUGGGUGUAAAGGGAGCGUAGACGGUGUGGCAAGUCUGAUGUGAAAGGCAUGGGCUCAACCUGUGGACUGCAUUGGAAACUGUCAUACUUGAGUGCCGGAGGGGUAAGCGGAAUUCCUAGUGUAGCGGUGAAAUGCGUAGAUAUUAGGAGGAACACCAGUGGCGAAGGCGGUCUGCUGGACAGCAACUGACGCUGAGGCGCGAAAGCGUGGGGAGCAAACAGGAUUAGAUACCCUGGUAGUCCACGCUGUAAAC
Molecule: ribosomal RNA, 799 nt
Filed under: uncultured bacterium
Lineage: Bacteria
Description: bacterial SSU rRNA
Rfam family: Bacterial small subunit ribosomal RNA
Source: RNAcentral